Molecule: unclassified non-coding RNA, 460 nt
Filed under: Hevea brasiliensis (rubber tree)
Lineage: Eukaryota; Viridiplantae; Streptophyta; Magnoliopsida; Malpighiales; Euphorbiaceae
Source: RNAcentral
GUUUUGUAUGCUUGAGUUAGUCUUCCACUUGUAGUCAUCCAGGAUGAGGAUUCGCUUCGGGACUAUCAAUUGUUCUGGAGUGUAUGACACAUCCUAGGUGUAGGCUCGGAUCGUAACAUGUACGAAAUAUAAACUCAUAUACCUUCAAAUAAUAUUUGAUCAUUUUGUUCUAAAUAGGUUACGUACCACAAAUACAUGAUUACGUAAGUGAUGAUAAGUGCAUACGACUACUCCAUGGGUAUAAACAUUAUAGACAAAGACCAACAAAUGUCUAGUUUGUAAUAUUUUGCUAUCUCGUUCACGUUCUUGAGUCCUAUAUCAUCAAUAAACUCUCUUCAUAAAUAAUCGAAUUUGAAGAACACGGAUAUGUUUGUUAGAAAAAGAAGACGGCAUACAAGUAUCACUAAAAUUAUCCUUACAACACUCAUAUAACUCUAAGAGGUGCAAAUAUCAAUUAGAA